Molecule: ribosomal RNA, 465 nt
Filed under: uncultured bacterium
Lineage: Bacteria
Description: partial 16S ribosomal RNA
Rfam family: Bacterial small subunit ribosomal RNA
Source: RNAcentral
GACGAACGCUGGCGGCGUGCUUAACACAUGCAAGUCGAGCGAGGCCCCUCCUUCGGGAGGGUGUCCUAGCGGCGAACGGGUGAGUAACACGUGGGCAACCUGCCCUCAGCUCUGGGAUAACUCCGGGAAACCGGGUCUAUUACCGGAUACGACCUCCACGGGCAUCUGCGGAGGUGGAAAGUUUUUCGGCUGAGGAUGGGCCCGCGGCCUAUCAGCUAGUUGGUGGGGUAGUGGCCCACCAAGGCGACGACGGGUAGCCGGCCUGAGAGGGCGACCGGCCACACGGGGACUGAGACACGGCCCAGACUCCUACGGGAGGCAGCAGUGGGGAAUAUUGCGCAAUGGGCGAAAGCCUGACGCAGCGACGCCGCGUGAGGGACGAAGGCCUUCGGGUUGUAAACCUCUUUCAGCAGGGACGAAGCGAAAGUGACGGUACCUGCAGAAGAAGCACCGGCCAACUACGUG